RNAcentral lists this small RNA (28 nucleotides) under Bombyx mori (domestic silkworm). RNAcentral describes it as "ovarian small RNA-334". The record is from RNAcentral. Lineage: Eukaryota; Metazoa; Arthropoda; Insecta; Lepidoptera; Bombycidae.
UCAGAAAUUAGAGUACAUCGCUUUCCGA